This 496-nucleotide ribosomal RNA is filed under the name uncultured bacterium. RNAcentral describes it as "partial 16S ribosomal RNA". It matches the Rfam family "Bacterial small subunit ribosomal RNA", at positions 28 to 506 of the family's 1533-position model. The record is from RNAcentral.
GAUGAACGCUGGCGGCGUGCCUAAUACAUGCAAGUCGAGCGAACAGACGAGGAGCUUGCUCCUCUGACGUUAGCGGCGGACGGGUGAGUAACACGUGGAUAACCUACCUAUAAGACUGGGAUAACUUCGGGAAACCGGAGCUAAUACCGGAUAAUAUAUUGAACCGCAUGGUUCAAUAGUGAAAGACGGUUUUGCUGUCACUUAUAGAUGGAUCCGCGCCGCAUUAGCUAGUUGGUAAGGUAACGGCUUACCAAGGCAACGAUGCGUAGCCGACCUGAGAGGGUAACCGGCAACACGGGAAUUGAAAAACGGUCAAGAUCCCUAGGGAAGGCAGAGGUGGGGAAUCUUCGGAAAGGGGGGAAAGCCUGACGGAGCAAGGCGGCGGGAGUAAUGAAGGUCUUCGGAUCGUAAAACCUUGUUAUUAGGAAAGAAAAAAUGUGUAAGUAACUAUGAACGUUUGAAGGGAACCAAAUCAGAAAGCAACGGCUAACUAGGG